Molecule: non-coding RNA, 28 nt
Filed under: Homo sapiens (human)
Lineage: Eukaryota; Metazoa; Chordata; Mammalia; Primates; Hominidae
Source: RNAcentral
GAGGACAACAUCUGAGAAGGACCGUCGA